Camellia sinensis is the source of this 304-nucleotide non-coding RNA. The record is from RefSeq and is a predicted model, not a curated record. Lineage: Eukaryota; Viridiplantae; Streptophyta; Magnoliopsida; Ericales; Theaceae.
CACCCAGAAGCAGAUCAAUCUGAACCUACAAGUCCUGAUCCGAGCCCACCUGAGCAACCGAAACAGACUGUUCAUUCUUUCUGUAAAAUUUUAACGGCAUCUGAUACUAGCACCCAUGGAGGGUUUUCUGUUCUUCGGAAGCAUGCCAACGAAUGCCUGCCACAAUUGGACAUGACCCAGUCAACCCCAACCCAGGAUUUGGUUGCCAAAGAUCUUCAUGGGCAUGAGUGGCGAUUUAAGCAUAUAUUCAGAGGCAAGUCCCACCCUUCUUGCCAUUUGCUUCGUGCCUUUUUGCCAUGUUGUC